AAUGCUAAGAGAAUGGAUUUACAAUAAAUUUCUUUUUUAAAUUUUUAAAAAUUGAAGUUAAUUUUAUUUGUGCAGAAGCAAUAAUAUAUAUUAAUGACAAGAAGACCCUGAGAAUUUAUUAUUAUGAAAUAAUAAAUAGAAAUUUCAAAAUGUUAAUUGGGGCGAUUGAUAAAAAUUAAAAACUUUAUUUAAAAUAAAAUAAAAUGAUCCAUUAAUAAUGAUUAUAUGAAAAAAUACUCUAGGGAUAACAGCG
Molecule: ribosomal RNA, 253 nt
Filed under: Amblyomma compressum
Lineage: Eukaryota; Metazoa; Arthropoda; Arachnida; Ixodida; Ixodidae
Description: partial large subunit ribosomal RNA
Source: RNAcentral